This 469-nucleotide ribosomal RNA is filed under the name uncultured bacterium. RNAcentral's name for it is "bacterial SSU rRNA". It matches the Rfam family "Bacterial small subunit ribosomal RNA", at positions 329 to 794 of the family's 1533-position model. The record is from RNAcentral.
UGCCAGACUCCUACGGGAGGCAGCAGUGAGGAAUAUUGGUCAAUGGGCGGAAGCCUGAACCAGCCAAGUCGCGUGAGGGAAGAAGGCCCUGCGGGUCGCAGACCUCUUUGGACGGGGAGCAAGGCCGCCGACGUGUCGGCGGAAGGAGAGUACCCGUAGAACAAGCAUCGGCUAACUCCGUGCCAGCAGCCGCGGUAAUACGGAGGAUGCGAGCGUUAUCCGGAUUUACUGGGUGUAAAGGGAGCGUAGACGGCUGUGCAAGUCUGAAGUGAAAGCCCGUGGCUCAACCGCGGAACUGCUUUGGAAACUGUAUAGCUUGAGUACUGGAGAGGCAGGCGGAAUUCCUAGUGUAGCGGUGAAAUGCGUAGAUAUUAGGAGGAACACCAGUGGCGAAGGCGGCCUGCUGGACAGAAACUGACGUUGAGGCUCGAAAGCGUGGGGAGCAAACAGGAUUAGAUACCCGCGUAUA